UACAACUUUCAACAACGGAUCUCUUGGUUUUGGCAUCGAUGAAGAACGCAGCGAAAUGCGAUAAGUAGUGUGAAUUGCAGAAUUCAGUGAAUCAUCGAAUCUUUGAACGCACAUUGCGCCCCUUGGUAUUCCAUGGGGCAUGCCUGUUCGAGCGUCA
RNAcentral lists this ribosomal RNA (157 nucleotides) under Phoma herbarum. Its description in RNAcentral is "5.8S ribosomal RNA". It matches the Rfam family "5.8S ribosomal RNA". Rfam says of the family: 5.8S ribosomal RNA (5.8S rRNA) is a component of the large subunit of the eukaryotic ribosome. It is transcribed by RNA polymerase I as part of the 45S precursor that also contains 18S and 28S rRNA. Functionally, it is thought that 5.8S rRNA may be involved in ribosome translocation. Lineage: Eukaryota; Fungi; Ascomycota; Dothideomycetes; Pleosporales; Didymellaceae. The record is from RNAcentral.